This is an RNA transcript of Nomascus leucogenys (northern white-cheeked gibbon), 2903 nucleotides long. It is a transcript of the gene named TLC domain containing 3A, with no coding region annotated. Lineage: Eukaryota; Metazoa; Chordata; Mammalia; Primates; Hylobatidae. The transcript is spliced from 5 exons. The record is from RefSeq and is a predicted model, not a curated record.
UCGCGGCCGCCGGGCCUGGUCACGCGCAGAGCCGCGCCGCGGGAUCGGGGCCAGCGCCGGGCGGAGGCGGGACGGGGACGGGGGCGGAGGGUUGAAAUCGCGCGGCCGGGCCGGGGCGCGCCGAGCCGAACCCAGCCACGCGGCGCCAGCGAGGCGGCCGGACCCGCAGCCCCGAUGCUGCUGACGCUGGCCUGGGGCGCGCUCUUCUUCCCGGGGCUCUUCGCGCUCUGCACCUGGGCGCUGCGCCGCUCCCAGCCCGGAUGGAGCCGCACCGACUGCGUGAUGAUCAGCACCAGGCUGGUUUCCUCGGUGCACGCCGUGCUGGCCACCGGCUCGGGGAUCGUCAUCAUUCGCUCCUGCGACGAUGUGAUCACCGGCAGAGGCUCCGGGGAGACCUUGGGGACUUCUUUGUCGGCUGCAUCUUCACGGCAGAACUGAGCACUCCGUUUGUGUCACUGGGCAGGGUUCUGAUUCAGGCACGUAUGAAUGAAUGGCAGAGAGAGUGAGGGUUCUGAUUCAGGCAUGUAUGAAGAAUGGCAGAGAGAGGGUUCUGAUUCAGGCAUGUAUGAAUGAAUGGCAGAGAGUGAGGGUUCUGAUUCAGACAUGUAUGAAUGAAUGGCAGAGAGAGUGAGGGUUCUGAUUCAGGCAUGUAUGAAUGAAUGGCAGAGAGAGGGUUCUGAUUCAGGCAUGUAUGAAUGAAUGGCAGAGUGAGGGUUCUGAUUCAGGCAUGUAUGAAUGAAAUGGCAGAAAGAGUGUGGGGGGAAGUGGAUUCUGCUUUUCCUUCGGAGAUGGUGGGUGUGGAGAAAUCCCUAAUGCCAGGAGAGUGGAAUGAGAGAUCCUUCAACUGCCUUAAAGGUCAGCUGGUCAUCUCAGCCAGUGGGGGUGAAAUUGUAGGUUCGACCUAAGUUUGAUAGUUUGAUACAGCUCAUUCUAUUUUUUCCCUGGUUACACACAUACUUUAAUCCACGGUUCCUGUACUCCUGUCAGCUGGGUGGCCUGGGUCAAAUUCAAAAUCACUAUUGCAGAAAAUGAGGUUAUUUGCAUAUAUCAAUAUGAUAGUGUUCAAGAAUGUCUUCUCCAAGUGUCAGAAAACUAGACAAACGUCUGGGCGCCUGGGAAUCUGACAGCCGAGGUCUUGAUGAGCACUUGCACCUGUGUGGCAUUUACUGGGGGGGGACUUGGGCCACUCGCUCCCUGAUGCCCAGCUUCGUGGUGACCUUACCUUUUUCCUUCCUCUUCUAUUGCAGCUAAAGCAGCAGCACACCCUUCUGUACAAGGUGAAUGGAAUCCUCACACUGGCCACCUUCCUUUCCUGCCGGAUCCUUCUCUUCCCCUUCAUGUACUGGUCCUAUGGCCGCCAGCAGGGACUCAGCCUGCUCCAAGUACCCUUCAGCAUCCCCUUCUACUGCAACGUGGCCAAUGCCUUCCUCAUAGCUCCUCAGAUCUACUGGUUCUGUCUGCUGUGCAGGAAGGCAGCCCGGCUCUUUGACACUCCCCAAGCCAAAAAGGAUGACUAAAUGCUCCCGGGAGUCGGGCGCAGCCUCACACCAGCUGCCUCCUCCACUCAGCAUUCCAUGGACCAAAUUGUGCCCUGGGUGGCCUCAGACUUCGGGUAUUGAUAAGCAGAUGGAUUUGAGUUUUUCUAAAGAAUAUUCAUAUUACCUCCUCCUUCUAACUUGCCCUAUUUGCAAAAGCACUUUUGUAGUAACAACUAUUGGGUCCUGUCAGACGUCCACGGACAGCAAAGUGGUUUUAAUGCAAGCCCAAGGAUCCUUCUAGGGUCUUAUCUCAAGAGCUCUGGGAGGUGGAAGCAUGGGGCGUGGUCGGUGGACCAGGGUGAUAAGUGUCUGCACAUCUGCCUGUCCCUGUAUCAGCGGCUACCCACCUUUCAAACCACUCAGGGCAGCACCCAUGGCACUGGGCCCGCAGAAGCAAGGGAUGACUUGGUUCUUGGAAGUAAUGUCUUCUUGUGACACUGGCUUGGGACAAUCAUUGUGGGUAGGUAGUUUUUGAUCGUUUACUAGAUAACCCAUUGGUUCUUUGCCUCAUCCUCUCAUCCAUGGGUCAGAGUUGAAUUCUUAUGUCUAUCGACUUCCGAUCAGAAGUCUCACUGGUGGGGCUGGGGGUGGGGACAGGCAGGAGGCAUGGAUGGGAACCUGAGUAGGUAGUGUGGCCAAGAGGUCAGCACAACCUUUGCAGGCUGACUUGGUAAGUCUGACAGUGUCAAACUGGUGAGCUUACUGCAGUCAGUCACAGAUACUGUUCUUUUUAACACACCCCUUCAUGCCCAGCUUUCCCCCUAUCCACAUGCAGAGGACGUGCUCAUAAAAACUACAGGGAAACGUGAAAUGAUGGCUUUGGUAGCUGUUUACUGGGUAACCCCACUCUAUGACACUGUCCUUUUCAUGUGAUGUGGAAACCAACUUCUGUCCUCCAAACCACGAAAUGUGCCAUCUAGACUGCUGAGUACUUGAGUACUUAGCCUCCUGAUACGCCAGAGCCUGUGGUCCAAAGCCCAUUCCUGUGUGAGUGUCCUGCCAUUUAGCCACAGAAGGCUGCAGAGUGAGGGGGCAGCCAGCCUGGCCAGAGGCUGUCCUGUGGACCGACACGUGCACCCCCUUCUGCAAGCAGGAUUUUCUGGUGCCAACACUCAUCAUUCCCAUCAACUAGGAUGGGUUUGAGAUUGUGCUACCAUGUGUUCUGAAGUGGUAGUUUAAAAAGUGGAUUUUUAAAGUGCCUUUUAAUUGUCUGUGAACGUCUAAAGGACUGAAUGAUUUGUCUCAUUUUGACUCUUUAGUCUUUAAUGGGUGCCAUUUAAAAAACAAAAUGCUAUUUUUUAAUUGUCUUUUUUUUAUCAGUGAAAAGUCACCCUUAUGGUGAUUAAAUUGCACUGACAUUCCCAA